CAGGAGAACCGCCCUCAUGACACCACUGUUCUGACUGGUCCCUCCUUGGCUUGUCCUGUGAUUAUUUACUCUACGCGAAAGUUACACAUCCGCAUUGCUACACUUUCUUGUUCAAAGUUGUCCCCCUAGUUAGUUUCACGCAAAGCUAAUGCCCUGUAUGUUUUUGUGGCUCGUACUGGAAUUAAACAAGCAUCCUUACCUGCAAGCUGCUUUCUGGGAGACACAACCUUUGCAGAUAUGUGACCAGGUAAUGACAGUCCUUGAGCCUGUGACUGGUAUAUCAUUGUGUCCUCUGGUACCUCCACUAUAGUCCCCACUUAUAUGGGCAACAAAAGUAUUCCUAAAAAAAGCGGAUAAUGUGACGAGUUGCUUGGCGCAAAGGCUCAAGGGAAGCAGAAAUGCAACCGUCCUAGUUCAGAGGGACACCAUAAACUCCAGAGUGACCCGAGUGGAAGGAAUCAAGUUGUUGACAGAAUUGCUGAAGGAGGUGUCUUGAGGCCAGUGUCUGAGGGAAGUCGACGGCAGCUGUAUGGGACGGCACAAGCUCAGCUGAUCUCCGUGGCUCUUCUCCCCCAGCCUGAAGGGAAACCGCUGCACUUGAACCACAAAGGGACCGACAUCAUGCCUCAUCAGUGUGUUGUCAGAGGGUGUAACAACACGAACAGAGAAGGAUUCAAGUUGUACCAGUGGUCAAAAGAUGUGAAAGUCCCUCGUUUGUUCUGCACACUGUACCGAUGACAGCUAUGCCACGACAGAGAUGGCACAGAAAUGACAAGAAUGUGUGGAUAUCCUGCGACACUCAAAGCAGAUGCAUUUCCAACGAUAAAGUCAACGAAAUCACAAAGCAACUCGGACUUUCCCACUUACACAUCUGAUGUCACAUCUGAUGCUAGCAGUCUCACCACCCAGAGGUCAUUUUUAUACAGCAACAUACAUGUAAGUUGAUUGGCAACACGGCCCUGCGAUGAGGUGGCGACUUGUCCAGGCUGUACCCCGCCUUCCGCCUGAAUACAGCUGAGAUAGGCUCUGUGGAAAAGAGUGGGUUAGUUAUACAAAAAGGAAAGUUUCUUAAAAUUCAUGAAAAAAAAUCAUUAAAAUACAAAUGGCCACAUUUCAAAAACAUGUUUUAUGAGACACCUGAAAUAUGAGUAUAUUACAAGUUUUUAUUUUUAAGAUUUUUAAAGGGGAACAUUAUCACCAGACCUAUGUAAGCGUCAAUAUAUACCUUGAUGUUGCAGAAAAAAGACCAUAUAUUUUUUUAAUCGAUUUCCGAACUUUAAAAGGGUGAAUUUGACGAUUUAAACGCCUUUCAGUUGAUUCAUAUGAUUUAUGCCACUUCUUUUUCUGUCUCAUUUUGUCCACCAAACUUAUAAUGUUGUGCAUGGAUGCACAAAGGCGAGUUUUGUUGAUGUUAUUGACUUAUGUGGAGUUUGAUAAUCAGACAUAUUUGGUUACGGCAUGACUGCAAGCUAAUCGAUGCUGACAUGCUAUUUAGGCUAGCUGUUUGUACAUAUUGCAUCAUUGUGCCUCAUUUGUAGCUAUAUUUGCAUCCAGCCUUUCCCUCCACCCACAUUUAAUGCCAAACAAACACAUACCAAUCGUUGGUUAGAAGGCGAUCGCUGAAUUUGUCCUCGCUUCCUCCCGCGCCACUGUCUGUCGUGAUAUGGCUCCCUAGCUUCAGUUUCUUCUUUAAUUUCGUUUUCGCUACCUGCCUCCACACUCCAACCAUCCGUUUCAAAACAUGCGUAAUCUGUUGAAUCGCUUACGGCGCUGAAAUCCGAGUCUGAAUCAGAGCUAGUAUCGCUAUACCUUUCUGUGCUAUCCGCCAUGUUUAUUUCUGUGUGAUUACGCUUUGACUUCACAGGAUAAUGGACGAGUGGAUAUAACGACGGUUAAAAUCAGGCACUUUGAAGCCGUUUUUCGGAAUAUUGCGUGAUGGGUAACAUUUUUAAGAGAAACUUCGAAAAAUAAAAUAAGCCACUGGGAACUGAUUUUUAUUGGUUUUAACCCUUCAGAAAUUGUGAUAAUGUUCCCCUUUAAGAAAAACAAACUAUGGGGUCGUUUUUGACCCCACGUCUGCAUCUAAGGGUUAAACACUACUUCUGUCAAUAUAAACAAGUAUCAAAUAAUUAGAGUUGUAUAUUACAGAUACAAACUCUCCAAGGCAGAAGCUUAUUAGAAAGUCUGCACUAAAAACUGUGUCUGGAUCAGUCAUGCACUAAACAUAAUUAAUUAUUGUGGCCACUAGUUGUUGCUGCCAAACUAUUUUCCACUUGUGCAAUGAGUCCUGCUAAUAUCAUAUGAAAUUAAUAUCAGGAUCGCACAAUACUUAUGGCUCCAAUAAUGUUAAUGUAUUGGAAGUGAAAAAAGACACCCUUAGUAAUUACUGUUACCUUUUUUUAAAAUGUUAAGAAGUUUUUCAUGAGAAAAGAAUGCAUAAUGUUAUAUCUGUGAUUUGGAGUAUGUUCCUUUUUAAAGGAGGUACCUAUUGAAGGAUGUGUGAUGUUACAUAGCGAGAGUGGAGUUAGCUGAGUAUCAGUAUGACUUGUGAAUGUGUUGAGCCAAUAAAAGUGCUUCAGUAGCUGUCUGUCCUUGACCACAAUUGGGACAGUAUAAUACGGUGCCAUGUUUCACAGUAAUUAAUAGUCAAAAUUACAGUUUGGCCUAUGCCUUCCUUUUUAAAAUAUUUCUAACCUGAGUGAACUCCUCAACCAAAUAAGAUAUUUAUGCAUCAAUAAUAUGUAAUGUUAUAUGUAAUAUGCAAUAUGUAUUGCAGCCAAACAGCUAUUUUUUUGUUUCAUCUGACCACAGAACUUUCCUCCAGAAAGUCUUAUCUUUGUCCAUGUGAUGUCAGAUGAAGCAAAAAUUGAGCUGUUUGGCCACAAUACCCAGCAAUUUGUUUGAACGAGAAAAGGUGUGGCCUUUAAUCCCAGGAACACCACACCUACCGUCAAGCAUGGUGGUGGUAAUAUUAUGCUCUGGGCAUGUUUUACUGCCAAUGGAACUGGUGCUUUACAGAGAGUAAAUAGGACAAUGAAAAAGGAGGAUUACCUCCAAAUUCUUCAGGAUAACCUAAAAUCAUCAACCCGGAGGUUGGGUCUUGGGCGCAGUUGGGUGUUCCAACAGAACAAUGACCCCAAACACACGUCAAAAGUGGUAAAGGAAUGGCUAAAUUAGGUUUGAAUUAAGGUUUUCGAAUGGCCUUCCCAAAGUGCUGACUCAAACGUGUGGAUAACGCUGAAGAAACAAAUCCAUGUCAGAAAACCAACAAAAUUAGCUGAAUUGCAGCAAUUUUGUCAAGAGGAGUGAUCAAAAAAUUCAACCAGAAGCUGGCCAGAAGUUUGUGGAUGGCUACCAAAAUCAUUGAUUGAUUGAUUGAUUGAAACUUUUAUUAGUAGAUUGCACAGUUCAGUACAUAUUCCGUACAAUUGCCCACUAAAUGGUAACACCCGAAUAAGUUUUUCAACUUGUUUAAGUCGGGGUCCUCGUUAAUCAAUUCAUGGUACCUUAUUGCAGUGAAACUUGCCAAGGGACAUGUAACCAAAUAUUAAAAUUGCUGUAUGUAUACUUUUGACCCAGCAGAUUUGGUCACAUUUUCAGUAGACCCAUAAUAAAUUCAUACAGGAAACAAACUUCAUGAAUGUUUUUUGUGACAAACAAGUAUGUGCUCCAAUCACUCUAUCACAAAAAAAAUAAGAGUUGUACCAAUUAUUGGAAACUCAAGACAGCUAUGACAUUAUGUUCUUUACAAGUGUAUGUAAACUUUUGACCACGACUGUAUUUACUCUGGGUCAGUUCCUCGUUGCAUCACACUGUGUGUCAUUAUAAAGUGUUUUGCUUUGCUUCAAUGGACACACCAGGGUUUGUUUGUGUAAGUGCUGCAGCGAAGGUUCAGUAAAUAAGAGCUCUGUAAGAAUGUUUGUGUUCACUAUAUGUGCUUAGAGCAGCACUGCUGUUAUUUGCUAUGGUUGAAUUAUCAAUUAAGUGUGUGGCUUAUUUGUUGAUUCAAGUUAGCUUACGUCAUUGAAAUUCAAGAUGACUUAAGAAUUGGAAUACUGUAUAGUACUUCCUGAAUUUCUACUGUAUAUUGUGCUUGAUUGACAUUUUUAUACAUGAGCUCGGGCAGCUCAACAGUUUAGGUCAAAAAUAAAAUUUUGAUUGUCUCUGAA
Long non-coding RNA from Nerophis ophidion (straightnose pipefish), 4169 nucleotides. RefSeq lists it as uncharacterized. Lineage: Eukaryota; Metazoa; Chordata; Actinopteri; Syngnathiformes; Syngnathidae. The record is from RefSeq and is a predicted model, not a curated record. The transcript has 8 exons.